GAAAGAAGAAAAGGAGAGAAAAAAUUAGGCAGGAAGAAAGGGAGGAGGAAAGGAGGGAGAGAGGGAAGAAGUGGAGCUACCUCCUCCAUUAGGUAGAAGAGGCCCAAUAUUUAGGAACUGCGAUACUUUUAGGGGUCCACAUCAAUGUCAUAACUUUAUUUUUGUUUAAAAUCAGAAGAAAAAAGUGAAUAUAACAACAAAUAUAUACUAUUGAAUUCUGUGUGUAUCAUAUUUAUUCAUAUACCAAUGCAGUCAUAAAAUGUAGUUUUAAAAUUUAUUUAAUGGAGAAAGUGGCCCAUAAAAGUGUCCAGGGCCUACAAAAGUAGGAACAGUCUCAGGAAGGAGGAAAGGGGAGGGGAGAAGAUAGGAGGGAAGUGAGGGCAACAAAAGAAGAAAAGCUGGAAGGGGAAUACGGUAAGAUUGUGAGAUUUUGUGCUUGGUAAUAAUGGUUGCUGAGGAUUCUUCCAGUGGUAGCUUCUAGAUGAUUAUCCGGUUAGAGAACCUGGUUUGGAGACUUGGAUACCAUUACUGAAAGUUGUAUUUUAACUUUCUGGUGAUCAUUAAUGCACUGGGGAAAUAGUAACAGAAGCAAUAAGUUACUUUAAUUCGUCCCAUGUUUCCUGGUCUGUAUUGUAGCACAGUUGUGGCCUUAGAUUACCUGAACCCUUUAAGUCAUAUUUAUGAUCUUUAAACUUUAGCGAAGCUGAGGACAAAGGAAAAUCUUCACCCUCAGAGGAACAGAUGUCAUUUUUUCUAAUAUUGUAAAUUACUGGGUCAAUGCUUCUUUUCCUGAGUAAGGGACGGUUGUAAGUUAAGGAACUUAUGAAAGCUCUGGCCUUCCUAGGCAUCUCUCAUCCUUUGACACUUUUUAAAUUUUCAUUUUCAAAAUCCUUAGUCCAAGUAAUCACUGCCAAGCCUGGCCUCCCCUCUUCCACUUGCAGAGGAGGCCCCAUGAAUUCUCUGGAAAACUGUUUCUCUGGGGACCAUCUAGACCUUUACAGACUGAAUGCAGCAAAGAAGAAUUUACUAUAAGAAUGUGUCCUUGUAAGUUGGACCAGAGUACAAAAUAUUACCAUGAAACUCAGCUGAACCAUUUGAUUCACUGGGCAAUAUUUAGGGGGAGAACCAAUUCCAAGCUGGCCUUGCCACCUCUGUGCGUUUCUUCAAGCUGAGCCUUUAGCCUGGGCUGUCCUCAGGGGACAUGUGGCCAUUCAUUGCCUCCUUCAAAGCCGUCAGAGACCCUCCUCCAUAGGAUUUUCCUUUUCUCCUACAAGUCAAGACCUGGAACAUCAGCUAAUGGUAAUCCUCAGUUUAGCAUAGCUGCCCGCAAAGAUUCUGGAACUGUUUGAAUUUCUCGGCAAUUCUUGGCACAGAAGCAUCCACGCUGAUCCCAACUGGGAGAGGUCUUUUCUGGGUAGGAGGGACCCAGAUUUGGCAGCAGCAAACUUGAAACUCAAGGGAGACUCUUCACAUUCCCAAAAGAAGUCUUGGGGCACCACCACGCCUAUGGUGAACAAGGGUGCUUAUUCAAAAUGCCAAAGCGUGAUGAUUUUAAGAGGAUUCUCCUCUUUCAAUAAUCUCUGGGUACACUUGGAAAGAAAUUUUACCUUCUGUGUUGUAAUUGAAUAGAUUUUAUAUUUUUAAGAUAAAGAACAUUCAAUUUUACAACCCUAAAAGGAAAGUGUACAGGCUGCUUUCUCUAAUUCAAUCUUAAAGCUCUUCUCUUUGAUGAGGAGCAGAUACUGUUUAAUUUCUGACCCACCAAUAUGUCUUCCCAGCCUAUAGAGAGACGGGGGUGCUUUCUAUCUCCUUCCCGUUUACCACCGUAACUUCUUCCCUGACUAUAUUCUCCACUGUGGACAAAUUCAGAGUUGUGACUGGGAAACAAAAUUCCUGGAGGUAUUUAAAAAAAAAAAAGUCAGGGUAAUGCAAUGUGUGGAAUUUGGAUUAAGCUCUGAAAUGUUUUUAAUUCCAUCUCCACUGCUCACUAUUUGUGUGAUAUUAAUGAAGUAAAUAACUUCUCUGAACCUCA
Molecule: non-coding RNA, 2032 nt
Organism: Macaca mulatta (Rhesus monkey)
Lineage: Eukaryota; Metazoa; Chordata; Mammalia; Primates; Cercopithecidae
Source: RefSeq, a predicted model, not a curated record